ACGUCUUCUGCGGGCUUCCUCUUCAUUCCCAUUUCACCGAAGAGCCAAACUGAGGUCAGUUUAGGCCAGCAAGUGACCUGCUCGAGGGUGACUCGGUACGUCGCAGCACUGCCUAGAAGAGCGUAUGCUUCUCCCAGGCCUUCGCCCAGAUUUUGCCCUUUGACCUCUACCACGCAUCUCCUCAGUCAUCCAUUUCCCCGAAACCCCUCCCCCCUUUUCCUUGCACCUCUUCUGACCCUCUGGCCUGUGCUGGCCGGCAGCUAUUUCUACUCUUGUUUCUUCUCCCUCCCUUGGCCCAGCCACGCAUUCACCUAUGCCCCCCCCCACCUCUGAGCCAAUCGGGCUGCGGUGUGCAGCCCCGGGGACAUGGUGGUGGCAGUUGAGGGUGGUGACAGGGAGACUGAGAUGGCUAACAAGUGGGUACUUACAAGAAGACAAUCCCCAGAGGUUCCAGAGGCCAAGAGUGAGCUGGGCAGACCCACACUACCCAACCCAUGCCUUGAUUAGCUGCAGGAGUUAACUGUGUGAACAGUGUGUGUGUGUGUGUGUGUGUGUGUGUGUGUGUGUGUGCGUGUGCGCGCGCGCGCGCACGCGUGUGGCGCACAAGCACACAUAUGUGUGUCACACAUACUGGCUUCCAGAAAAAAAUUACCCGAGGUAGAGUAUGGCUUUCUUACCCCAUCGCCUUCAGGCCGCCUGCCUUGGAUGACCCAGAGCCUUCCCUGCCCCUCUCAGACUUGGGCGGCCGUACAUCUCUCUCGAAUUUGGGGAAAGGAAUUUUAAAAGCCUCUUGUGCAAGUCAGCUCCCUGCCUUCCAAGCUCUCUUCUUGGCCCUCGCUGUCAGCAUCAAUUUUCUGCAGGGAGUGAUUUAACCUUCAUUUAUUCAUUAAUUCUUUUUUCCCCUUAACUUCAUUAGGUAAGAUUUAUAAAGGUGCUGAAUUGGAAAGGUCACCUGUCCCUGGGCCCAGGACACAGUGUGCCUGCAUCCCUUCUCAUGAGCUUCCUUCCAGGAGCGCUCUGGAGGUGGGGAGGGGAGGGGAGUAGCAGAGGAGAAAGUCAAAGCCGAGCCUAGGGCUCCCCAGGAAGGCAGGGCAGGCACCCGCUGGCUGGUGGGAGGCCCAGGGACAUGGGGGAAGGGCGGGCUCUGUUAAGCACAUCUGGAAUCCCGGCCCCACCUCUCACUGAAUUGACCUUUGCCAAAUUAUCUAAUCUGAGCCCUUGGUUUCCUCUUAGAUAAAUUGUCAAUAAUGAUAGACUCUACGUUAUCAGGUGGUGGCAGGGAUUAAAUUGGCGAUAUACAGAGAAUCCUGAGCACGGUACCUGACGCACAGCAAACACUCAAUAAACAGUAGCUUUUUAAAAAGAUCUUCAAUUGUCCCGGUCGAACCCUGACAGUACUGCGCAGUCGUUAGCUCACUAACCACUAGCGACUGGUGCGCAGGGAGUCUGUCUGAUUGCUCCACGACAAGCAGGCCCACGUAUCCCGUGAUUGAUGCCAUCUCCAGAACCACAGGCAAAGCCUAAGCUCAUAGAGGAGCCAGAAAAAAAGCCAAGCCACCGCCUGGAUCGAGAUGGCUUCCUGAGGCCCAGAGAUUUCUGCAAGGAAGCCAGGCUAAGCUGGCAUCCUGCUCUCUGCCGUGGCCCGGCCGCACUCACUGCCUGGCCCAUCCCGCAAUGAUCCAUAGUCGUGGGCCUUUCCCAAGGCCUCUGAGGCCUGCCGGGCUCAGCCUUCAGCCAGCUCGUCUCGAGGAGCUGUGUCUCUCAUUAACAACCUCCCCAGAUGAAGGAGAAACAGACUAGAGGCUAAAGAACCGUGCAGGUGUUUUGAACUUAUAGAAAGUGCACUGAGAAGUAGAUUGCAAUAGAGGAAGGAACGCUGGGUGGACGCGUCUGCCUGGGGUCUCUUUGGUGCUAGACGGGACGAAGACCGAUGCUAAGCUCGGGACGGCACCCCUCCAAGGAACGUGGGGUCCUCUGAACAGGACCCACGGGAGAGCUAAACUGCUGAUCUGGUCCCAGGGCGGUCCUCCUUGUACCCAUUGAGAUCACCGGACAUCUCGAUCACUUUUUGAACAGCCCCGAUUAGGAAGUGACUGGCAAUCAUACCUGAACUUCGAGGGCAUUCUUCAUUAUGUGAGUCCUUCCCUGAUUCUCCAGCUGUGGCUGCCACCACGGCCUCCAUGCCUGUCAUCUAAAGACACUGUAUGGGGCACCUGGGUGGCUCAGUCGGUUAAGCGUCCGACUCUUGAUUUCCGCGCAGGUCGUGAUCUCACAGCUCGGGAGUCUGAGCCCCGCGUCGGGCUCUGU
Long non-coding RNA from Felis catus (domestic cat), 2307 nucleotides. RefSeq lists it as uncharacterized. The transcript is spliced from 3 exons. The record is from RefSeq and is a predicted model, not a curated record. Lineage: Eukaryota; Metazoa; Chordata; Mammalia; Carnivora; Felidae.